GCGUUCCUUGUGACACAUCGACGUCGUGGAGUCUCGGCGGCGAGGCGCAACAAAGUCUCGACGACGGAUGCAUGAUGAUGAGCGCGCAUAGGGAGGAGGCGCUGUCUGGCGCCGUGGGGGCAUCGACGGCAGGCCUUGCAAGGUCGAUGCGUCAGUAACUCUUCUGAAGAUGGAUUGAUGGAAAGCGGCGGCGACGACCUAUGAGGGUGCGUUGGACCGGUUUGUGCCCCUGACCCGGUAUGUGGCUCGGUCGGGGCCUCCGGCUUUAGAUGUUAGGCUAGGUGAGAGGUCUGGGUAUGUGGCUCACACUUUCUGCACCCCUUCAUCAUUGGAUAGGAGUAGCGACAGAUAUUGUCAAGAGGACGGCUUCAAAUAUAUUGAUAUAUUGCUUUGUAAGAUCUUUGUGAAUAAUUAAUAAAAUGG
Molecule: long non-coding RNA, 423 nt
Filed under: Hordeum vulgare
Lineage: Eukaryota; Viridiplantae; Streptophyta; Magnoliopsida; Poales; Poaceae
Description: long non-coding RNA (HVUL_LNC003145)
Source: RNAcentral